ACCAGACUCCUACGGGAGGCAGCAGUGGGGAAUAUUGCACAAUGGGGGAAACCCUGAUGCAGCGACGCCGCGUGAGCGAGGAAGUAUUUCGGUAUGUAAAGCUCUGUCAGCAGGGAAGAAGAAUGACGGUACCUGAAGAAGAAGCACCGGCUAAAUACGUGCCAGCAGCCGCGGUAAUACGUAUGGUGCAAGCGUUAUCCGGAUUUAUUGGGUUUAAAGGGUGCGUAGGCGGAAUGCCAAGUCAGCGGUAAAAUCGGGGGGCUCAACCUCGCUCCGCCGUUGAAACUGGCGUUCUUGAGUGGGCGAGAAGUAUGCGGAAUGCGUGGUGUAGCGGUGAAAUGCAUAGAUAUCACGCAGAACUCCGAUUGCGAAGGCAGCAUACCGGCGCCCAACUGACGCUGAAGCACGAAAGCGUGGGUAUCGAACAGGAUUAGAUACCCGAGUA
This 445-nucleotide ribosomal RNA is filed under the name uncultured bacterium. RNAcentral describes it as "bacterial SSU rRNA". It matches the Rfam family "Bacterial small subunit ribosomal RNA", at positions 330 to 792 of the family's 1533-position model. The record is from RNAcentral.